Leopardus geoffroyi (Geoffroy's cat) is the source of this 2764-nucleotide long non-coding RNA. RefSeq lists it as uncharacterized. The record is from RefSeq and is a predicted model, not a curated record. NCBI's taxonomy places the organism in Eukaryota, Metazoa, Chordata, Mammalia, Carnivora, Felidae. The transcript has 2 exons.
CCCUGCGUGCGUCGUGGAGCGCGGCGGACCGCUCCAUCCGCUCGCCCCUGCGAGGAAGCGCCGUCCGGGGCCCCUCCCCGCCCCGUCCGCGGUUAGGAGCGGCGCGCUGGCCGGGGCGGCGGUAUCAGGGCAGCGGGCGCGCCCCAUCCCUUUCACUCCUUGGCGGGACGACUGCCCGGCUCAGUGCUGUCCCGGGAGCCCACUCCCGAUCCUUGGCUUCCGUCUCGCCUUCCCUGAACACCUAGCUUGUACCAGCGUGGCGCUGGGGAAGCAUUUGUGGAGACAGGGCGACGUGUGGAGGUAAAUGCGACGCAAAAUGCUGGGGGGAGCUCUAAGAAGCAGGAAGGGGCAAAAGAGUUAGUUUUCUGGGCUCCUUUCUCUCACUGACCCCAGAUUACUACAGAUUACUGGGGGCGCCAGUAUGCCCAUUUUACCGAACGACAGAGAGAUCAAAUGGCUUCCCUGGGGCCAUUUAAUGCCAAACGUGGCACACCAAGCUUCUGCCUCAUCCCAGCUCCUCGGGUGAAAAGGCUUACCUCCGCCCAGGAGUGUGGGCAGCGGCUUAACCGUUGCCUUGGAAGUGUGUGGUCACUGUUAGCUGCUGACAGCUGAGGGAGAAAAGUCCAUCUUUUGCUUAGUUUGCAUCAGCAUCAUCACGUACCAUCCCGGUCAUCUUCCAUGGAAAGGAGGAAGGGAAAUUCGAUUCCUUGAGAGAAUGUGAGUUAUCCCCUUUUAUGAUUCUAUUAUGGAAAUUCUUCUGAAGGUGUAAAAGGAUAGGCUGCCGCGUAUGGGGUGGAAUGGAGGAAGAGGCACUUGACUAGAAUCGUGUUUCCCUUCAGGUCCCUAACCUGUUUCCUUAGGCAGAUCUCCCAAGGGAGGGCUCACUGGGUGGGGGUUGGAGGGUGGAUGAUAGGAUUUGGUAAGGGAAAUUGGCCUGUAGGUCCAUCCUGCUCUUACCUCUCUCUGGCUGGCCCAGCUUCUCCAGUGGCUCCUCCCUCCCUUUGCUCCAGCAGCUGUCCACUCUGUUUAGACUGGCACCUAUGCCUCUUCUCGCUAUGAGACAUGCUGUGUUUGCUGUGUAACUCCCCCCCACCUCCUCCACCCAAGUGAGCUCCAAGGGGACAGCACUUGUUGUCUCUUACAUUCCCUGCUUUCUUUCUUGUUCCUAGGACAGGUCCUGGCACACAGGGGCACUGUCAGUAAAUUCUUGUUGAUUGAAUGAGCUCUCCUACAAAGCUUAUUUAAUUCCACCUAGCAGCCCCUGACAUUAAUUGAACCAGUCCUUAUGCCAGAACACUUUAAAUGCAUUAUCUCAUAUUAUUCUCACAACAGAACUCAGGUUGGUGCUGUUAGAAUUCCCAUUUUACAAAGAGAGAAAGUGAAGACCAGUGAGGUUAAGUAACUUGCCCAGGGUCACGCAGCAGCUGAUAAAUAGGGGAGCUAAUGACAGAAACCACACAGUCUGGGUCUGGGACCUGAGUCCCAACCAUCUUUGGUUAGAAGAUGAAGAGGACUGAUCGCAGCAUCAGGUUCAAUAAGCCUGGAACCGGAGAGGUCUUAAGGUUGAAAGGAGGAGGCCAGAGGUCGCCGCCAUCAAAAUCGUCCCUUCCGAGCUUCUGUGGCUGCUGGGUGGGUCCUGAGGCCUCACAUGCGACCAUCAGUGUGCCCAGGAGGUUAAGCAGAGAAGCCUCUUCAAAAAUGCCCUCCCUUCAAAGUACCUGCUGGUGGCCAAACAUCUCUACUUUUCCGCGUGGGAAUAAGGGGCCAAUGGGAUGUAGAUGAGCCACCAAAGGCCAUCUACAGAUUGGCCCUGAGCUGUCGCGGGUUUCCCCGGCCAGGGGCUCCGCCACCUUCCGAUCCCCUUGGAAGACCCCGAAGGAGAAAUGUCGGGAAGGAAAGUAGAAACUGGAACUCUUGACUCUGGGAAGACAGAACCUGACUGCGCCGGGCGGGGCGCGCGGGUCUGCACCGUGCAGUUGGGCCCCAAGCCGGGGCGGGGGCCACGCGCGACCGGCCCCAGGAGGGCGAGGCGCAGGGGCCGCCGUGAGUCCCGCGUUUAGGGCACUGGCGUCUCUCGUUACGCGGUCUCCUUGUGUCUGUGAUUAAAACACCAGGAAAUGACUUGGAGCCCGAGAAGUUCGCUCUGUGAGCCGGGUUUUCUCAAUCCUUGCGGAGAUGGAGCGGAUGUGGAAACCAGCCCUGCGCCCCCGGAUUCAGGUUCCUGUCCCGGAGCUGCUUGCAUGCGCCGGGAACUCAUCCACCCACUGGGCCUUCGCGGCGCCAACAGACUUUAAGUGUAGGGAGAUACAGAGCGUGUUGAACACAGAUUCUUUGCCAGUGUCACCGAAUUCAUUGGAGCCAUGGGUCAUUUUGUGGUUAUGUGUGUUGUUUUUAGUCCAAAGAUACUAAAAUCAUAACUACUCAUCCUGAGGGUUUCUGGGAAAUUUUGGAGAUUGAAAUACCUGAAAAUUCUGGUAAUCCCUGUUCAAGUGAGUCAAUUAAAAAGAAUUUGUUUACCCACACCCCCAGGUAGAAUCACAGGAAAGUCAAUGGAGAAGUAUGCUCAGUCUCUCCAGUUCUGUUUGGAAACUCAAACCCUCCUCCCCAUGUUUUCAGUUGCAAAUUAGAAAUCACAUUAAUUGCCCUAAAAUGCAGCAAUUUGCCUUAUGCAGAAGUUUGUUUUUGAACCAAGAUUUGCUUCAGUUUUCUUCCCUAGACGGUGUUAGGUGAUAUCAUGGAACUAUUAAACAAAAAACCCAACUGA